RNAcentral lists this long non-coding RNA (480 nucleotides) under Vulpes vulpes (red fox). Its description in RNAcentral is "lncRNA (ENSVVUG00000001979.1)". The record is from RNAcentral. Lineage: Eukaryota; Metazoa; Chordata; Mammalia; Carnivora; Canidae.
AUAAGGAAGCCCAUUCCUGCCAGGUGUUGCCAGUCUUCCAGAACACAACCCUAAUUUUCCUGUCCAAACACCCACAGUCAUGGCUACAGCCUGUGGACAAGUCCUCUACUGCUGAGCACUUGGCACAAGUGGUCUUGGAUAGGUUUGGAGAUCUGAUAGACCUUGGAUUGAGUUCCUGCCUGCCACCUAAAAGUUGAACAGGAGGUGGAGAGUGUUUUGAGGAAGGGAAGACAUCAAUGAAGCUGCAAAUCAUUAUGAAAUCCUUGGUUCUUGAAGCUCCACUUGAAGCCAGCCUUCUUGAAGCCAGCUUUCAAGCAAUUCUAUCUUCUAUAUUUCUCAAUUUCAAAUCCUUUCGUCGGGCAGCCCUGGUGGUACAGCGGUUUAGCACCACCUGCAGCCUGGGGUGAGAUCCUGGAGACCAGGGAUCGAGUCCCACAUCGGGCUCCCUGCAUAGAGCCUGCUUCUCCCUCUGCCUGUGUG